AUUGAACGCUGGCGGCAUGCCUUACACAUGCAAGUCGAACGGCAGCACGGGGGCAACCCUGGUGGCGAGUGGUGAACGGGUGAGUAAUGCUUCGGAACGUGCCUAGUAGCGGGGGAUAACAUAUCGAAAGAUGUGCUAAUACCGCAUACGAUCUACGGAUGAAAGAGGGGGAUCGCAAGACCUCUCACUAUUAGAGCGGCCGAAGCCUGAUUAGCUAGUUGGUGGGGUAAAAGCCCACCAAGGCGACGAUCAGUAGCUGGUUUGAGAGAACGACCAGCCACACUGGGACUGAGACACGGCCCAGACUCCUACGGGAGGCAGCAGUGGGGAAUUUUGGACAAUGGGGGAACCCCUGAUCCAGCCAUGCCGCGUGGGUGAAGAAGGCCUUCGGGUUGUAAAGCUCUUUUGUCCGGAAAGAAAUCGCUUAGGUUAAUACCUUGAGUGGAUGACGGUACCGGAAGAAUAAGCACCGGCUAACUACGUGCCAGCCGCCGCCGUAA
This 500-nucleotide ribosomal RNA is filed under the name uncultured bacterium. RNAcentral describes it as "partial 16S ribosomal RNA". It matches the Rfam family "Bacterial small subunit ribosomal RNA", at positions 30 to 523 of the family's 1533-position model. The record is from RNAcentral.